UGAACGCUGGCGGCGUGCCUAAUACAUGCAAGUCGAGCGAACAGACGAGGAGCUUGCUCCUCUGACGUUAGCGGCGGACGGGUGAGUAACACGUGGAUAACCUACCUAUAAGACUGGGAUAACUUCGGGAAACCGGAGCUAAUACCGGAUAAUAUAUUGAACCGCAUGGUUCAAUAGUGAAAGACGGUUUUGCUGUCACUUAUAGAUGGAUCCGCGCCGCAUUAGCUAGUUGGUAAGGUAACGGCUUACCAAGGCAACGAUGCGUAGCCGACCUGAGAGGGUGAUCGGCCACACUGGAACUGAGACACGGUCCAGACUCCUACGGGAGGCAGCAGUAGGGAAUCUUCCGCAAUGGGCGAAAGCUUGACGGAGCAACGCCGCAUGAGUGAUGAAGGUCUUCGGAUCGUAAAACUCUGUUAUUAGGGAAGAACAAAUGUGUAAGUAACUAUGCACGUCUUGACGGUACCUAAUCAGAAAGCCACGGCUAACUACGUG
RNAcentral lists this ribosomal RNA (495 nucleotides) under uncultured bacterium. RNAcentral's name for it is "partial 16S ribosomal RNA". It matches the Rfam family "Bacterial small subunit ribosomal RNA", at positions 30 to 507 of the family's 1533-position model. The record is from RNAcentral.